UUCUUCUCUAUUCCUUCAUUGUUCUCAUCUCUGCUCCCCUCCUCCAUCCUCCCUCCCUCUGGCCCCACUCAGCUCCAGGCUGCCGCUUCCUGCCACAAUUCAGGGGGUAAGGCAGGACACCAACCCUCCACCAGUGCUUGUCAAUUCAGGACCAUGGGAAGGUUGGGAGGAGUGGAGACUGGUUGAGAAAGGUGAAGGGUCACAGGAUAUUGUCCUAAGUAACUCCCUGUGAGCUUACUUAAGGCUGUGUGACUUUAGUCCCUCAGUAUUAGCAUAGGUUUCUCAGAACUCCAAAUAAAUAUUCACUCUAAGUGAAAACAUUGCACUUGGAAUGCAAAUGAAGAUUGGAAGCAAGCCCCUUAGGACUCCUUUCCUGGCCAAGAAUGCCCCCAAGCUCUCUGUAUUCUGGAGGUGGUCAUUCAGGUGGUGCCAAGAGAGGCUGGCAUGGAGAGAGGCACCUGGGUCUUGCCACAGAGACAGGAGACAGCAGAACACGCUCCCAGAUGGCAGCUUGGACAUGGACACACACACACACACACACACACACACACACACACACACACACACACCAGGCUGCACUCAGCCACCCACUUCCUAUGCAGAUGGAGCACCCUUCCUCCCCCCACCCCUGGAGCAUUCCUCUCUGAGCACCUGCAGCAGCAGGGGCUGCAGCGUCUUCCCCAAUCUAGAAACCUGUUCAUUCAUUCAUGCAUUCAUUCAUUCACUUCAUAAAACUUGCUCUGCAACCCCUGCAUCUGUGCCAGCCUUUGUGCUGGAUGUUGGGUGACACAAGCGAACAGGAUUGUUACUAGGGAAGGGAGCUGAAAUAGAGGGGCUCCUGCAGGCCCUCCCCUGCAGCCUUGGUCUGGGGGCUGGGGGCCCAGCAGGCGAGGGGUUAAGUCGUUUGGCAUCCAGAGCUGGAGCCAUUAGGCCUCCUAAUUAUGAAAUUAUCGAGGUCCUCAGGUGACUGCUAAUUUCACACACACUGUUCCUCUCACGGCUAAUGAACGCCCGCAGAACCCACGCCUUGUCUUUCCUGCUGAACGGUGACCUGCAGUUAAUGAGCUCAGGAAGGCAGACAGGGCACCGGCUGGGUGGGUGGGGCGACAGGCCCAAGGAGGGGGCCACUAGCCCCUUGGGUCCCUUUUGCUCCCCUUGAUGGCUGCCAGCCUCAGUGAAGACUUCAGGGCCCAAGUCCAGCUUAGGGGUCCCUCAGGGCAGGCUAGGCUUGGGUGUGGGGAACAGGGGAGAGAUCCCAAUUGGGAGGGUGGGGGUGGAAGCUUGUGUCAUGAUACCAGAAUGAGCCUAGAACAGCAUGAGGCAGAGGCCAGAGUACACACUGGAGAAUCAUUUCUGCCUUCUUUUAGAACUGUGACAGAGACAUUUUAGGGAGAAGCAGGGGAUGUGGUAUACCUAUAAGUAUAAAGGAUAGAGAUUGGGGGGUGUGGGGCACAGUCACCCCUAAUGCUGGUGCAGGUGAAGACUUUGGAGUUGGUGGUAUUGAUGAUAGGAAUGCCACGUGACUGGGCUGAAGGGCUAUUGUGGAUGGGUGUGAUCUUAAAGUCUUGGUUUGCAAGUUUAAAAUGUAAUUUUUUAAAAAGCUACCCUCAAAAUAUGAACAAAUAGACAAGCAACAACAACAAGAACAAAACAGGCACAUGUGUUGCCUACAACCUCAGGUAGUGUAGCCUAGGUCUUGGGCUACAUUCUUCAUAUGGUGACACAGUGGGUCAUCUGGUAGAUAUAAAGGCCCUGUGACCUGUGCAAGUGGGAAUCCCACCUUUAUCUUUCCAGGCUGUCAUGGCAGCCAAGUAAGAAGCAGUGUGGCAGACAAGGGGAACAAGAAGGUGGGAAUCAGAGGGUACAAGGGACCUCUGGCCUUAGCUUUUUCCAUCCUGUGACCCUGAGCAGUCAUUUGUUCUUCUUUUCUGGGCAGGUUUCUUCGUGAGCACAUGGUGGGGUGAGAGCAGAGCUGUUUGCAUUGUGCUUACAGAGGAGGAUUGGGCUGUGGUCCCCAACAGGUUGCCCUCACAGCCCAAGGUAGGCAUCCCAGGCUGAUGAGUGAAGAGCUCCUUGUUCUAGGCUUUCAGGUCUAUGUGUGGCAUGGGUGACACGUGUUCAGGCUUCACCUCCCUCUGGAAUCAGAGGCUCAGCCAGUUGUAGGCUGUGGCCUUUGACAACAAACCCUGCUCUCUCUAGUUCUCAGCUACAUAUGUACCUCAGUUUCCUUGUGUAAUAGGUGGGGAAUAGAAGCAUAAACUCACUUUGAAAGUGGACUAAGAUCUCAGGGGUCCCAGCUAUGGCUCCAGAUCUGGCCAGCCUUCACCAUCAGUCUUCAAGUUCCCUCCUCAAGUGUCCAGUCAGCUCCCUUGACUGCAUGGUAAGCCCCCAGGAAGAUGUCUGCCCAGCGGAGGAAGAACAAACCGAAGAGGGACAGCCUGCCUCAGCUCUUCCUAUUUGGUCUGCAUGACAGAAUGGGAUACACACUUCUAUUACCUCCAUUUUUCUGAAUGAGAAAUCCAAAGAUGAGAGGUUAUGCAAUUAACCGAAGUCGAGGAGCCAGAAAAUGGCAGAGCAAAGCCUUGAGGUCCAGCCUGGUAUACCACCUGCCUCUGCAUGCCAUUCACAGAUACUUCAGACACACAGAGCUAGGCACACUGUGCCAUUGGGAUGCACAGGGAUCCAGACUUGCUCAUCACCCUGCAUGCAUGCCCUCCGUGUGCAACUAUACCCUCUCCUGGGCUUAAGUAGUAUGAGCCUGCAUACCCAUAGGUGCAGCUGGACUUCAUUAGUAGACUUGUAAGUAUUCUUGUGAACAUGCCUAUUGCACACCAAAUGUGUAUGUGCAUGGACACACAUACAUGGCUACAUGUGCACACAAACUCUUCUGCUCAGGAAAGUGUAAUGCAUUAGUCACGUUCACAUCCCCAUGUACACUCACACUGACAUACAAACUGAGGUACAUAAGAGAAGAGCUACCUGCUAAGGAGCAUUUAUGCACAUGUGCACAGGGGUCUUCUGGAUAGAGAAAGCCUGUGGACAGGAAAGAAGACAACUGGGUGUCCUCACGAUGCACACAGACACACACCCACACUUGUAUGCACGCACCAGAGCACCCAAGCUGGAAACCCUGGUGCAGCAAGGUGAACAGAUUCUUCGUACCAGGGCAGUGAUAGAUGGACCAACGUCCUAAGUGACUAUCAAAGUGUCGUGGCGUGUGCGGCACAAACACCAAUUAGUGGGGCCUUUGAAAGCAUCGGCUCGUUAGAGAGGAAGCCGAAGAGGCUGAAAUUGGCAUAAAACACGAAGCUAUUUAACUCUCACGGGGGCGGGUGAGGGGGGCAUGCACAGUGGAAAGGCCUCUGGGCAGAAUUCCUCCCUCCAUUCCGCACUUGUUCCUAGAGAAGGACCCUCACAAGGGGCCUUGGCAGGCAGCUUUGAUGCUCCUUGAAAAUGGGGGUGGGGAUAGCCUCCUGCCAGCGAGAGGCUGGCACUGAGUGAGCGGGGGCCGCGCCAACUGGCGAUCAAUUUCAUGCACAUCGUAAACCUAAGUGCUUUCUGGAGAGUCUGGCAGAUUGCACAUAAAGUCCCCCUUCUGUCCCUAGCACACGGGUGGGCGUGUGAGGCAAGGGCUCACCCUGGCUACAGGAGACCCAGGUAACCUGAUCCCCCAGUGGGAGGUAUCCUUGGGGACCUGGGGGAUUCUCUCAUCAAGGCCAGCACUGCUGGGAACAGCUGGAGCUGGGAGCCGUGCGUGCAUGAACCUGGACUCUGCCAGACUCUGCUGCUCAUUGGUGGAAUGACCUUGGGCAGUCGGCUUCGCUGACCCUUAGUCUCCUCAUUUGUGAAGUAGGAUGACAUGAGAUUAAUUGAGCUCUGUCUUUGCGAUGAGCUGUCACAGAGCUGAAGAAUCUCAAGGUCCACACACUCACAACACAGCCUUGGACUCUCCUCACCAGGAACACCCACUGCUAGCAGGUUUCUGGCCAUGGCGGUCUGUCUCUAGGACACACAAAUGAGACCAAUGCAUCGAGCAUCAAGGAGACAGAAAUGAAAUCCACAGGACAACACCACAUCACCCCCACCCAAACGGCGGAUGGAAGUCUGUCCAUACCGGUGCUGACAAGGACACAAAGCUGUCACAUGCAGCUGACUGUGGCUUAGUGGUGCCUUGUGGUAAAGGUGUGAAUGGCAUGUAAUGUGGGGCCAGCACCUCUGAGUCACGGUCUGUGUCCCCCAUGUGAGCACAUGACCAAAGGAUGCUCUGACCACGUACAACCAGCAGCAGAACCAGCUGGUGCAGCUGAUACUGUACUUCUGGAAUAGACUAAGGCAGCUCGAACCAGCCAGAUGACAAAGGGCACACUGAGUGUCAGAGGCAACGUCCAUCAAAGGCAUCUGACAAAGAAAGAUCUCGCCUGACAGCAGCUGGGAGGCUGAGGUAGACCCAAAGUGAGAAGGCCCUGUGGCCAGCUUCUGCUGUCAUUCAAGGUAAGAUGCAGAGUUUAUGGACGCCAUGGAGUGGAUACUCUCCUGUGGGAAGGGGUGUUUGACUGUGUGUGUGUGUGUGUGUGUGUGUGUGUGUGUGCUCACAUGUGCAUAUAUGUAAGCUAUUGGCCAUCCUCAGGCCAUGAACCGAUUCCUACAAAUGUCUCCUCUGCUCUUCUGCAUUACCUGGUCUCUCCAAAGCAAGCUGUACCCUGGUUGGGCCCAGUCACUCAUGUUUGUGACAACACAGUAUUCAAUCACACACCAGAUAAGAGGUGUGCUGAGAAUGGGGUAUCUGGAUGAUGAUAGCUUCAGUUGGAAGGUGGAGCCUGGGACUAGUGUGAUAUCAGGGUGAAGAAUCUCAACAAAUACUCGUGCUGACGUUGGGUCUGUGUGAGUCUGACCCUGACCUAUGUCUCCUCAGUCUGGUCUGGGUGCUCCAUUCCCAACAGACCACAACCGACUUCUUUCUCUCAGUGUUCUGUAGGGCCACGUCACACAUCCUUUCCUGAUUUCUACUUGAUUUAUUCUGUCCAUUCUUCAAGGCUCACUAUAAUUUUGUGUUUCAUCUUUAUUUCUGUUUCUGAGGGAGUGUCUCAUGUAACCAAGGGUAGCCUUAAACUCUUGGUAGAGAGCCAAGGCUGACCUUGAACCCCUGAUCCUCUUGCUUCCACCCUUUGAAGUGCUGGGAUUAUAGACAUGUGAUACCAAGCCAGGCUUCAUCACACAUGUUAUCUCCCCUAAAACGCACCCUCAGCUCUCUUCAACACAUGGGAUCUAAAUCACCUCUGAAUACUUGCAGGUUAUAGCCAUCUCUGACUUCUCUUACUUCUCACUGGGGACAGGCUAGUGGCUUAGGAUUCUAAUCCUAUCAGCCCAAUGUUAGGCUGAGCUAGGUUUGAAUCCAAGGCCCACAUCUUGUCUCAUACAGC
Molecule: long non-coding RNA, 5420 nt
Organism: Mus musculus (house mouse)
Lineage: Eukaryota; Metazoa; Chordata; Mammalia; Rodentia; Muridae
Product: predicted gene, 36134
Exons: 4
Source: RefSeq, a predicted model, not a curated record